GGGUGAGUAACACGUGGGUAACCUGCCCUAAAGUCUGGGAUACCACUUGGAAACAGGUGCUAAUACCGGAUAACAACAAUAGCUGCAUGGCUAUUGCUUAAAAGGCGGCGAAAGCUGUCGCUAAAGGAUGGACCCGCGGUGCAUUAGCUAGUUGGUAAGGUAAUGGCUUACCAAGGCGACGACGCAUAGCCGAGUUGAGAGACUGAUCGGCCACAUUGGGACUGAGACACGGCCCAAACUCCUACGUGAGGCAGCAGUAGGGAAUCUUCCACAAUGGGCGAAAGCCUGAUGGAGCAACGCCGCGUGAGUGAAGAAGGUUUUCGGAUCGUAAAGCUCUGUUGUUGGUGAAGAAGGAUAGAGGUAGUAACUGGCCCCUAUUUGACGGUAAUCAACCAGAAAGUCACGGCUAACUACGUGCCAGCAGCCGCGGUAAUACGUAGGUGGCAAGCGUUGUCCGGAUUUAUUGGGCGUAAAGCGAGCGCAGGCGGAAAGAUAAGUCUGAUGUGAAAGCCCCCGGCUUAACCGAGGAAUUGCAUCGGAAACUGUGUUUCUUGAGUGCAGAAGAGGAGAGUGGAACUCCAUGUGUAGCGGUGGAAUGCGUAGAUAUAUGGAAGAACACCAGUGGCGAAGGCGGCUCUCUGGUCUGUAACUGACGCUGAGGCUCGAAAGCAUGGGUAGCGAACAGGAUUAGAUACCCUGGUGGUCCAUGCCGUAAACGAU
RNAcentral lists this ribosomal RNA (720 nucleotides) under uncultured bacterium. RNAcentral describes it as "bacterial SSU rRNA". It matches the Rfam family "Bacterial small subunit ribosomal RNA", at positions 104 to 810 of the family's 1533-position model. The record is from RNAcentral.